GAUGAACGCUGGCGGCGUGCCUAAUACAUGCAAGUCGAGCGAACAGAUAAGGAGCUUGCUCCUUUGACGUUAGCGGCGGACGGGUGAGUAACACGUGGGUAACCUACCUAUAAGACUGGGAUAACUUCGGGAAACCGGAGCUAAUACCGGAUAACAUUUGGAACCGCAUGGUUCUAAAGUGAAAGAUGGUUUUGCUAUCACUUAUAGAUGGACCCGCGCCGUAUUAGCUAGUUGGUAAGGUAACGGCUUACCAAGGCGACGAUACGUAGCCGACCUGAGAGGGUGAUCGGCCACACUGGAACUGAGACACGGUCCAGACUCCUACGGGAGGCAGCAGUAGGGAAUCUUCCGCAAUGGGCGAAAGCCUGACGGAGCAACGCCGCGUGAGUGAUGAAGGGCUUCGGAUCGUAAAACUCUGUUAUUAGGGAAGAACAAAUGUGUAAGUAACUGUGCACGUCUUGACGGUACCUAAUCAGAAAGCCACGGCUAACUACGUG
RNAcentral lists this ribosomal RNA (497 nucleotides) under uncultured bacterium. RNAcentral describes it as "partial 16S ribosomal RNA". It matches the Rfam family "Bacterial small subunit ribosomal RNA", at positions 28 to 507 of the family's 1533-position model. The record is from RNAcentral.